CAGCAACGCCGCGUGAGGGACGACGGCCAUCGGGUUGUAAACCUCUUUUAGUAGGGAAGAAGGGAACGCAAGUUCUUGACGGUACCUGCAGAAAAAGCACCGGCUAACUACGUGCCAGCAGCCGCGGUAAUACGUAGGGUGCAAGCGUUGUCCGGAAUUAUUGGGCGUAAAGAGCUCGUAGGCGGUUUGUCGCGUCUGCUGUGAAAUCCCGAGGCUCAACCUCGGGCUUGCAGUGGGUACGGGCAGACUAGAGUGCGGUAGGGGAGAUUGGAAAUCCUGGUGUAGCGGUGGAAUGCGCAGAUAUCAGGAGGAACACCGAUGGCGAAGGCAGAUCUCUGGGCCGUUACUGACGCUGAGGAGCGAAAGCAUGGGGAGCGAACAGGAUUAGAUACCCUGGUAGUCCAUGCCGUAAACGUUGGGCGCUAGAUGUAGGGACCUUUCCACGGUUUCUGUGUCGUAGCUAACGCAUUAAGCGCCCCGCCUGGGGAGUACGGCCGCAAGGCUAAAACUCAAAGGAAUUGACGGGGGCCCGCACAAGCGGCGGAGCAUGCGGAUUAAUUCGAUGCAACGCGAAGAACCUUACCAAGGCUUGACAUAUACUGGAAACGGCCAGAGAUGGUCGC
This 623-nucleotide ribosomal RNA is filed under the name Curtobacterium sp. Ri2Pw_6137. RNAcentral's name for it is "bacterial SSU rRNA". It matches the Rfam family "Bacterial small subunit ribosomal RNA", at positions 389 to 1013 of the family's 1533-position model. The record is from RNAcentral. Lineage: Bacteria; Bacillati; Actinomycetota; Actinomycetes; Micrococcales; Microbacteriaceae.